This 207-nucleotide ribosomal RNA is filed under the name uncultured bacterium. RNAcentral's name for it is "partial 16S ribosomal RNA". It matches the Rfam family "Bacterial small subunit ribosomal RNA", at positions 568 to 774 of the family's 1533-position model. The record is from RNAcentral.
AGCGCAGGCGGACCGGCAAGUUGGAAGUGAAAACUAUGGGCUCAACCCAUAAAUUGCUUUCAAAACUGCUGGCCUUGAGUAGUGCAGAGGUAGGUGGAAUUCCCGGCGUAGCGGUGGAAUGCGUAGAUAUCGGGAGGAACACCAGUGGCGAAGGCGACUUACUGGGCACCAACUGACGCUGAGGCUCGAAAGCAUGGGUAGCAAACA